Molecule: long non-coding RNA, 332 nt
Filed under: Microcebus murinus (gray mouse lemur)
Lineage: Eukaryota; Metazoa; Chordata; Mammalia; Primates; Cheirogaleidae
Description: lncRNA (ENSMICG00000048511.1)
Source: RNAcentral
AUGGAAUCAGGCACUCUUCCUGUGUGUGGCCUAGGAGAUGCUCCACUCCCUCGGUUGACUUCAGGAACCAGCUGGCAGGUCCCCUUUACUCAUGGGCUUCUGAAGUACCUUAUGAGAGCAUCAGCACUAGGUGGCGCUAUGUUACCAUGAAGACUGCCGGGGGGGGACCACAGUUUUCAAGUUGGCUGGUAGAAACAGGAGUCAGGUGGUGGAUAGGAGACAUAUGGACAACUGUAUACUGGUAAUGACCACUGUUUGUGGAGCUCCUUCUAUUUCAGUGUUAUGCUGCAUCAUGUGUUCAAUGCAUAUUUAUAAGAGAGGUCUGAUAUCAC